This 1711-nucleotide long non-coding RNA is filed under the name Theobroma cacao (cacao). Its description in RNAcentral is "long non-coding RNA (TCAC_LNC004657)". Lineage: Eukaryota; Viridiplantae; Streptophyta; Magnoliopsida; Malvales; Malvaceae. The record is from RNAcentral.
AUAUUUUGGUGAUAUUUGAUGUUUGGUGAGGCUAGAAAUUAAAUGGGAAAUUUUGGUGUGAAAAUCUGAAUUUUUGCUUAACGUAUAGACAUGUGUGAUUAUUGACCCGAGACUGAUAAAUUGAAUCUAAAUUCACAGUCACUGAGGUAAUUUAGGUAAAAUUAGAGUGUAGAAAGUGAAAAGAAUUGAUUUGGAGUUAAAUUGGAGAUUUUAGCCGAUUAAGCCGAGUAUAGUGUGACUUAGGUCGAAUAUCACAUUUAAGUGAUUAAUCAAACAUUUUGCAUCCCAUCGCAUGCAUUCAUUUAGAUUUAGAGAGCCUAAAAUAGUUUAUGAUAAAUUGACACAAUUUAUUGAAAUUCGUGUCACGUAUGAUGUAUAGGUGGUGAGCCCUCUAACAAGGGUAAAGAGAUUAUGCCCGAAGACCGGGAAUAAGAGUAUAUCAAACUCCUAGUUCUAUGAGUAACCUUAUUAUCAUUUUAAUUAUCUAAAGUAUAUUUUAAUUCGGUUUUGGUUAAAUUUUAUGAAAAUGAGAUAAAUGGCAAAUUUUAGGUUUUAUAAACAAAAAUGAGUUUAAAUAAAAAGAUUUUAUAAAUUAUUUUGGAAAUUGAAUGAUGAUUUUGAAAAUAGAGUAAUUGGAGACCAUGAUAUGUUGUAAAUUUAAGAUUGAAUUAAUGGCUUUUGUUAUUGUGUUGGCAUGAUUGGCUGGGCUGUGUUUGAUGAAUUGUAUGAAUUGGUUUAUUUUACCCUUGCAGGCUGGGUAGUAAUAUAUUAGCUCUGUCAUGCUGUCAAAAUUUUAUUGUAUGGUGGGUUUAGCUUACUGCAGUAGGCGGGUUUCCGUGGACUAGCCUAUUAAAGGGGCACGAUAAACCCCAUUAUAUUUUACCUCGAUUGGAGAGGCGAGUAGGGUAACUCCCGAGGUAUGAUUUUAAAGUUCACUUCACAUCAAACCACCACGUGAAGGUGAGCUCGGCCAACGCCAAUGACCGGCUAUAUUUUCAAAAUGAAAACAUGUUUUAUGCGUAAAUGACUUUCUAAUAGCCUUGGCGGACUCAGUUGGGAUAGCCCUCGACCAAGGUAUCCUAGAUAACUGAGUAUGAUAAUAAUUUUUGGCAUGAGCCAAGCUUUUUAAGAAAUUCAUAAGCCAUACUAAUUACUUGAUUUAAAUAAAUUGAUUUCAUUUGGUUGAAAUAAGUUGAAAAAUGAUAAAUUACAGUUUGAUGAAAUGUUUUAAUAGUCUCCUUUUACUCGCCUUUACAUAUUUUAAAUGAUAUUUGUUUACUCACUGUGAUUUUAUAAUCUCACCACCCUCCUUUCCACUCAUUUCAAGCAUCAGGAUAGUUGGUAAAUAGCUUAUUUCAUCGAGGACUACAAUUGGAUUGGCAUCCUCAAAAUAUGUAGGCUCAAUUCUUUUGACACUUUCAAUCGUUAGUGGGCCCACGUGUCACUGCAAAUUUAAUUUUAUACUUUGGUUAUCUAUAUUACAAUAUAUAUGAACUUAUUUUACUUUUUCACUGUAAAAAAUUAUUUACGCAGUGUUCUAAAAAUAUUGUUUUAUGAAAAAAUUGAAUAUUUUAUUCUAUAUUUUUAUUAUAUUCAAAUAGUUAUAAUUUCAUUUUAAAUGAAAGUUUUAGACAUUUAAAUUUAUUUUUGAUUAUGAAUUAUGUGUUUUAUACUUGCAUACUACAUUUUUAACUGGUUUCGAAACUUUUGA